CGACCCAAACCCGACUUAACCGAGCCCAAAACAGCAUGAACGGGCGGGUCGGGUCGGAUACAUUGUAACGGGUCAACCUGUCAAGGUUCCAGUUGGGUAUAAACGGUCGGGUUCGGGUUGAUUUUUUAAAACCCGUCGAAACCCAACCCGACCCGUAUUAUUGGAGAAAAGCAUGUGCAGUGGCAGAGUAGUUCACGUCUCACUCCAUCCACACUUUAUAUACUCUAUAAAAAAAGGAAAACCCUAACACUCCUCACUUUCUCAGUUCCUCUCUCUUGUGCGGCGCAUCUCACUCAAAGACACAAAGAGAAAACCUACAAUUUCUCCUUCCUCCUUCUUGAUUUUUCCUUCUUGUUCCUUCUCUUCCACCAAGCUGUAGCGCCCUUUCACUCAUUUUUGGUCCAUAUUUUCUCGUUCCUCUCUUGAAGUUUUAGAAGUCUGCAAAGUUUUCUUUCACUAUGCAUGUGAAAGCUCAUACCUUUCUCCCUUUUCCCCCAAAAGAUCCCUCAUUUUUAAGCAACAACAAGAAAGUUUGGUUUUCUUACUACUAUAUUUGCUAUCUUGUUUUAAAGAUUGUUUCUUUUCAUUAGCUAACUCAACAAUGAAGCCAAUGACCACAUUCAGCAUUCAGUGUAGAAAAGAAAGAGGAGAUCGAAAAUCUUGCCAAACAAGUUUGAAAGGAGCUUGAAGCCAGAAACUUAAUGGGAUGAUGAUGUUAUGCUUGUUUCAACUUGUAAAAUGAUUAUUAAUUUGUAUUUGAUUGGGAUUAUUAUUUUAUGUGAUUUUUGUAAGUUCAAAAUUGUUGUGCAGUCAAAUGAAGUAAUUUUAUUCGGCAUUUUUGGA
This is a long non-coding RNA of Lotus japonicus, 843 nucleotides long. RefSeq lists it as uncharacterized. The transcript has 3 exons. Lineage: Eukaryota; Viridiplantae; Streptophyta; Magnoliopsida; Fabales; Fabaceae. The record is from RefSeq and is a predicted model, not a curated record.